GGUUUCCAUUGAGCUCCCACAGCGCAGGUCAGAUUUGUUUCCCACAAGGAUGAUGGGAAUUCUGAAAUAACAUAUGGAGACAGGGGCGACUUAGUGAAACGAAAGAACAGGCUCAAAUUCCUAGACUGCCAAGUUUGCCAACAUUACAUGCAAGCAGUGGGAAGGAGUGCAAAGUUCAACGGCCCAGGUGUAAAAAUAAUCAUGUUUCAAAAGGAAGGUUCUGCCUGAACUAUCAGCGACUGAGUCUGCAGCCCCGGGUGUCAU
Long non-coding RNA from Dicentrarchus labrax (European seabass), 264 nucleotides. RefSeq lists it as uncharacterized. The record is from RefSeq and is a predicted model, not a curated record. The transcript is spliced from 3 exons. NCBI's taxonomy places the organism in Eukaryota, Metazoa, Chordata, Actinopteri, Moronidae.